Molecule: long non-coding RNA, 598 nt
Filed under: Jatropha curcas
Lineage: Eukaryota; Viridiplantae; Streptophyta; Magnoliopsida; Malpighiales; Euphorbiaceae
Description: long non-coding RNA (JCUR_LNC002851)
Source: RNAcentral
CGCACACUAAGAUUUUUAUGCAUUUGCUAGGUCAAGUGCUUCAUGAUCAGCUUCCAAGCUGGUUUCCUUUCUCCGGAAGUGGUGUGAGUAUGGUUUCUUGAAAGCAAGUUUGUUUCAGGAAACUCGAAGCUGAUGAGAAGCCAUUCCAAGUUUGUUGGUGAAUUGGGUUUAGUUCAAAGCAGAAGUGACGAACGUUACUUGGCCUGCUUUAUUGCCUCGUCUGCCUGCUGAAUUUGACUUGGAAUGGAGGUUUUGAGCCUGGCAAUGUAGCCAGCGUUAUAGUCAAAAUCAAAACUGGCAGAGGAGAUUUAUAAUAAUAAUAAUAAUUUUAUUGUACAAUUAAUAACUAGUAAUUAAUGUAUAUAUAAUUAUAUAAAUUUUGUUAUUAUAAGAAAAUUAUAUUAAAGACAAAUGCGAUAUGCUUAGAAAACCAUUUUAGGGUUUUUAUUCCUCAGUUCUUUAGAAUAAUCUCUAACUUAACGGGAAAUUAAUUAGUGUGUUGAGAGGUCUGAUCUUUUUUUUUUUUGAAAUGCAAAGAGAGGUCUGAUCUUGUUUAUUAUUAUUAUUUUAAUUAUAAGGUAUGCAAAGUACGUGGAUA